RNAcentral lists this ribosomal RNA (452 nucleotides) under uncultured bacterium. RNAcentral's name for it is "bacterial SSU rRNA". It matches the Rfam family "Bacterial small subunit ribosomal RNA", at positions 29 to 526 of the family's 1533-position model. The record is from RNAcentral.
AACGAACGCUGGCGGCAGGCCUAACACAUGCAAGUCGAACGGGCCCUUCGGGGUCAGUGGCGGACGGGUGAGUAACGCGUGGGAACGUGCCCAUCGGAUCGGAAUAACCCAGGGAAACUUGGGCUAAGACCGGAUACGCCCUUUUGGGGAAAGAUUUAUCGCCGAUGGAUCGGCCCGCGUCUGAUUAGCUUGUUGGUGGGGUAACGGCUCACCAAGGCGACGAUCAGUAGCUGGUCUGAGAGGAUGAUCAGCCACACUGGGACUGAGACACGGCCCAGACUCCUACGGGAGGCAGCAGUGGGGAAUAUUGGACAAUGGGCGCAAGCCUGAUCCAGCCAUGCCGCGUGAGUGAUGAAGGCCCUAGGGUUGUAAAGCUCUUUCGCACGCGACGAUAAUGACGGUAGCGUGAGAAGAAGCCCCGGCUAACUUCGUGCCAGCCGCCGCCGUAACAC